UACGUAGGGGGCAAGCGUUGUCCGGAAUCAUUGGGCGUAAAGCGCGUGUAGGCGGACUGGAAGGUCUGGUGUGAAAGCCCGGGGCUCAACCCCGGAGGGUCACUGGAAACCGACAGUCUUGAGUCCGGAAGAGGAGAGUGGAAUUCCUGGUGUAGCGGUGGAAUGCGCAGAUAUCAGGAGGAACACCUAUGGCGAAGGCAGCUCUCUGGUACGUGAACUGGACGC
This 225-nucleotide ribosomal RNA is filed under the name uncultured bacterium. RNAcentral's name for it is "partial 16S ribosomal RNA". It matches the Rfam family "Bacterial small subunit ribosomal RNA", at positions 524 to 746 of the family's 1533-position model. The record is from RNAcentral.